CUUUACCGUAUACGUGGUUGACAAAGAAAGGGGAAGAUGGAGACUCCGUGUUGAACAGGCCUGGCCCCCAGUGUUGAAGAGCAGGCAAAAUGAAGCCAGUCCAAAUGCAUAAGCCCAGCGUACAGACUCAUCUUUUCCGGUGAAUUAUCCCUAAUAGCAUAGAGGAUUUGUGAAGGGAGCAUAGAGCAGAGAUCUCAGAGGAAGCCACCAUGCACAGACAGACAAGAAGACUCCACCCCUGAGAAGAAGAGUGAAACACCAGAGGCUCCAAAGGAACCCAGUGACAGAGCAGGGGCUAAGGGCCAGUACACGGUGUAUUUGCAUUUACCCCAGG
Molecule: long non-coding RNA, 334 nt
Filed under: Homo sapiens (human)
Lineage: Eukaryota; Metazoa; Chordata; Mammalia; Primates; Hominidae
Description: HSALNT0344724
Source: RNAcentral